AGCGAACGCUGGCGGCAGGCCUAACACAUGCAAGUCGAACGAACUCUUCGGAGUUAGUGGCGGACGGGUGAGUAACACGUGGGAACGUGCCUUUAGGUUCGGAAUAACUCAGGGAAACUUGUGCUAAUACCGAAUGUGCCCUUCGGGGGAAAGAUUUAUCGCCCUUAGAGCGGCCCGCGUCUGAUUAGCUAGUUGGUGAGGUAAAGGCUCACCAAGGCGACGAUCAGUAGCUGGUCUGAGAGGAUGAUCAGCCACAUUGGGACUGAGACACGGCCCAAACUCCUACGGGAGGCAGCAGUGGGGAAUCUUGCGCAAUGGGCGAAAGCCUGACGCAGCCAUGCCGCGUGAAUGAUGAAGGUCUUAGGAUUGUAAAAUUCUUUCACCGGGGACGAUAAUGACGGUACCCGGAGAAGAAGCCCCGGCUAACUUCGUG
This 433-nucleotide ribosomal RNA is filed under the name uncultured bacterium. RNAcentral's name for it is "partial 16S ribosomal RNA". It matches the Rfam family "Bacterial small subunit ribosomal RNA", at positions 29 to 507 of the family's 1533-position model. The record is from RNAcentral.